RNAcentral lists this ribosomal RNA (495 nucleotides) under uncultured bacterium. RNAcentral describes it as "partial 16S ribosomal RNA". It matches the Rfam family "Bacterial small subunit ribosomal RNA", at positions 29 to 506 of the family's 1533-position model. The record is from RNAcentral.
AUGCACGCUGGCGGCGUGCCUAAUACCUGCCAGUCGAGCGCACAGACGAGGAGCUUGCUCCUCUGACGUUAGCGGCGGACGGGUGAGUAACACGUGGAUAACCUACCUAUAAGACUGGGAUAACUUCGGGAAACCGGAGCUAAUACCGGAUAAUAUAUUGAACCGCAUGGUUCAAUAGUGAAAGACGGUUUUGCUGUCACUUAUAGAUGGAUCCGCGCCGCAUUAGCUAGUUGGUAAGGUAACGGCUUACCAAGGCAACGAUGCGUAGCCGACCUGAGAGGGUGAUCGGCCACACUGGAACUGAGACACGGUCCAGACUCCGACGGGAGGCAGCAGUAGGGAAUCUUCCGCAAUGGGCGAAAGCUUGACGGAGCAACGCCGCGUGAGUGAUGAAGGUCUUCGGAUCGUAAAACGCUGUUAUUAGGGAAGAACAAAUGUGUAAGUAACGAUGCACGUCUUGACGGUACCUAAUCAGAAAGCCACGGCUAACUACGU